CAGUCACAAAAACGCACUUGUGCCUAAGAAACUGAACGAUACUUCCCAACUCCAUUAAUGGUGAAAACACAAAGGUGUAUAUAUAUAUAUAUAUAUGAUAUAUGUAUUAUGUGUGUAUGUGUAAAUCAAACCUGAUGAGAAACAUAGUGGUUUAAGUAAAAUCUAAAGCUGUGCCAUCUCUUAUAUACUGAAGACACAGGAGAGCUUAAUACAAAUAUAUAUCAAGUAGAAUGCACGCAAGUGAGAGUGGGCUGUAUUGAAGGCUGAUUCAAAAUUGACAGUAAUCCUACAUCAACUUUGCAGGAAGUUUGAGUUCAACUAAGCUCUCUUCUCCAACAAAAGUGGUAUCAAAGCCAAAUUUGUUUGUUAUUGGGCAUACAGUUCAUGGUAACUGACGACAAUGGAAUAAGCAUUAAUCAACCAUCAAUUCCAAUUUUCAAAGGCAAAAACUACAAAUUUUGGAGCAUCAAAAUGAAGACUUUAUCCAAGUCUCAAGAUUUAUGGGACUUAGUUAAGAAUAGGUAUUCUGAUCCGGAUGAAGAAGCCAGGUUUUGAGAAAAUUAAAAAACAGAUUCCAAAGCACUAUUUUUCAUCUAGCAAGCAAAGCAUGAAUCCAUUUUUUCUAAAAUUGCAGCAGCAAAUACAGCCAAAGAAGCAUGGACGACUUUGCAGGUAGCAUACCAAGGCUUGUCGAAGGAGUUCUAAUUGAUGAGACAGUCGUUGCAAAGGUAUUGCGGAGUUUGAUUCCAAAAUUUGACCAUGUAGUUGCAGCUAUAGGAGAGUCAAAAGACCUGACCACGUACUCAUUUGAUGAACUAAUAGGAUCCUUGCAAACUCAUGAGGCAAGAUUGAACAAGACAACUGAAAAGAGUGAUGAAAAGGCCUUUCAAGUGAUGGAGGAGUCAUCAGAGUAGCAAGAUGAUUCAAGAAAGGCAUCAAACAGAGGACAUGGCAGAGGACAUUGUGGUAGAGGAAGAAAUGGUGGACGGUAUGAACAAGGGCAGACGACUUACAAGCAGAAAAAUCACAAUAGCAAUAAUCAAUGUUACAAUUGCAAGAGGUAUAGACAUGUAAAGGCUGAAUGUUGGAGAAAAGAAAUACUUGAAAUUGUUCAUAAGAUGAUGAAAUGGUUAAACUAUUCCUGGCAUAUAAAGAUAAUACUGCAACUUCAAGUGAUAUAUGGUUUCUGAACAGCGGAUGUUCCAAUCAUAUGAUUUGAAUAAAAUAUUUGUUUAAGAAAUUUGACGAGUCAUACAAGAUAAAAAUAAGACUUCUUGAUGAUAAGCAAGUGAAGUUGAAGGCAAAGGCACAGUGGCAAUAAACAAAGGCAGCGGUAAUGUAAAACUCCUCCACAAUGUUUAUUUUAUCCUCAAUUAAUCACAAAAUUUGUCUGAGUGUUGGGCAACUUAUAGAUAGUGGACAUUUUAUUAUGUUUGAUAACAAGUCAUGUGGGAUUAAAGAUGAAAAAUCAGAUCAAGUUAUUGUUAAUGUAUACAUGGCACCAAAUAAACUUUUUUCACUUGAGGUGUCUAGUUUUUAAAAUCAUGCCCUUGUUGUUAGCAAAGGUAGUGAGUCUAGAUUGUAGCAUUUAUAUUCUGGGCAUUUGAAUGUAAACGGUUUGAGAUUGUUAAGUCAAAAGAAAAAUGUAUUUGGGCUAUCUAGAAUUGAGUCGUUUGAUUUAUGUAAAGGGUGUAUAUAUGGAAAACAAUGUAAAAAACCAUUUCUUAUGGGAAAAUCUAGAAGGGCAUUUGAGUGUCUUGAACUUUAGUAUGCUGAUUUAUGCGGUCUUAUGAAAACACAAUUGUUGGGUGGGAGUCGCUACUUUUUGUCAUUUAUAGAUGACUAUAGUCGUAUGAGUUAGGUCUACUUUCUUCAAUUCAAGUCAGGGACUUUUGAAACUUUCAAAAAAUUCAAGGCACUCACUUAGAAGAAAAGUGGAAGAAGUAUGAAGGUACUUCGCACCAAUAGAAGAAGAGAGUUAGUAUCUCAUAAAUUUAACCAAUUUCGUGAAGAACAAGGUUUGCAAAUAGAACUAACAGCAACAUAUACACAAGAGCAAAACAAAGUGGCUGAGCAAAAAAAUCGUAUCAUAGUCGAAAUGACGAGAAGUUUGUUGACAGCAAAAGGGCUGCCAAAUUAUUUUUAGGCUUAAGGUGUUGUUAUUGCUAUGUAUUUAUUAAAUAUGUCUCCAAUAAAGAUAGUUCAAAACUAAACACCAUUCGAAACUUGGAGUGGUAGAAGACCGGGUAAGUCACUUGAAAAUAUUUGUUUGUAUUGACUAUUGUUUGGUAGAUUUAUAAUCACAGCAAACUUGACUAUGAAUCUGUGAUAUGUAUUUUUGUUGGCUACGAUACUCAAUCUAAAACAUAUAAGCUUUAUAAUCCUAUGACUGGUAAGGUGAUUAUUAGCAGGAAUGUUAAAUUGGACGAAGCUAGCUGGAGUUGGCAUGAGAAAUCAGAUGACAUUCAAUUCAAAAUAUCAAUAGAAAAUGAAGCUCCACCAACUGUUGGACAGCAGCCAAUUCCUCCAAAUAUACCUAGCUCAUCUUCAUCAACUUCAUCAAGUUCUAGAAAUAAAGUUCAUCCGAAGAUGAAACUCCUUCCAGAAAAUUCAGGUCAUUGGCCGAAAUUUAUGAGUGCACACAAGCCUUUGGUCAGGUGUUGAUCCGACAACCUCUGAAGAAGCAGUAAAAAAGGAAAAAUGGAAAAAUGCAAUAAAAGAGGAACUUGCAGCAAUCUGGAAGAAUAAUACUUGGGAAUUGAUGGAUCUUCCUAAAGACAAGAAAGCCAUCGGAGUUAAAUGGAUCUUGAGAACAAAAUGUCAAGCAGAUGGCAGCAUACAAAGACAUAAAGUGCGACUUAAGGCAUAUUACAGUCUAACAUUCAUCAAAAUACAUAGUUGAUGAAGAAAACAACUAUCAGUAAACACUGAGACAGAUCUAGUGUGUGAGUCGAGAAUCUGAAAAAACAGAAGAUAUUUUUUUUAUUUAUACAUGGAACUAA
Carica papaya (papaya) is the source of this 3002-nucleotide non-coding RNA. The record is from RefSeq and is a predicted model, not a curated record. NCBI's taxonomy places the organism in Eukaryota, Viridiplantae, Streptophyta, Magnoliopsida, Brassicales, Caricaceae.